RNAcentral lists this ribosomal RNA (497 nucleotides) under uncultured bacterium. Its description in RNAcentral is "partial 16S ribosomal RNA". It matches the Rfam family "Bacterial small subunit ribosomal RNA", at positions 28 to 507 of the family's 1533-position model. The record is from RNAcentral.
GAUGAACGCUGGCGGCGUGCCUAAUACAUGCAAGUCGAGCGAACGGACGAGAAGCUUGCUUCUCUGAUGUUAGCGGCGGACGGGUGAGUAACACGUGGAUAACCUACCUAUAAGACUGGGAUAACUUCGGGAAACCGGAGCUAAUACCGGAUGAUAUUUUGAACCGCAUGGUUCAAAAGUGAAAGACGGUCUUGCUGUCACUUAUAGAUGGAUCCGCGCUGCAUUAGCUAGUUGGUAAGGCAACGGCUUACCAAGGCAACGAUGCAUAGCCGACCUGAGAGGGUGAUCGGCCACACUGGAACUGAGACACGGUCCAGACUCCUACGGGAGGCAGCAGUAGGGAAUCUUCCGCAAUGAGCGAAAGCCUGACGGAGCAACGCCGCGUGAGUGAUGAAGGUCUUCGGAUCGUAAAACUCUGUUAUUAGGGAAGAACAUAUGUGUAAGUAACUGUGCACAUCUUGACGGUACCUAAUCAGAAAGCCACGGCUAACUACGUG